UUAUACACGGAAGACACGAAGAUCCAAACAAUAAUGUCGAAUCUAUUUUGUCUUCAGAAAAUAGUGUAGACUAGUAAUGAGGUAAAUCCACGACUCGAGUUGAAGCACGUGGCUCGGUUGAUACUGUAUUGGUGGAGGCUAGUUUAAGAUUACUGAUCUUAAAAGGAGAGCGCACCUGGAUCGACUGAUACUUAUUUGCAUCUCCAUACUUCGACCCAGGUGGUUGAUCUACGUUGCACCGCUUAGAUUACUUGCUUUAAGAGCAGAGUGGCGCAGUGGAAGCGUGCUGGGCCCAUAACCCAGAGGUCCGUGGAUCGAAACCACGCUCUGCUAAAAGAAAGUGAUUGGGUAAUUUGCAAUGCAAAAAGGGAGAAAAGUGUGUCCUAAAGUCCCGUAAGCUCAAGACAUAACUGGUGAGCAAUGAUAUGCACAAUGGAUGGAUGACAUUCCUCUGUUAUUGUCCGUAAAGAAAAGAUAAGACAACGAGUUCAGGAGUUCACCAGAGUUCACGGACAUAAAUUUGAUUCAUUCAGAGCUACCAAUGACAUGACUUUGAAGCUGCUUCCAUGCUAAAAUAGAAAAAGUUUUGGCAGUUUCUUCGUGCAACGGUGUGGGUGAGUGACAUUAAAAGUUGAUUUCAUUGCAUGUUUAAAUGCUACUAUUAAA
Long non-coding RNA from Frieseomelitta varia, 666 nucleotides. RefSeq lists it as uncharacterized. The transcript is spliced from 4 exons. Lineage: Eukaryota; Metazoa; Arthropoda; Insecta; Hymenoptera; Apidae. The record is from RefSeq and is a predicted model, not a curated record.